AUGGAGGAGCAACCCCACGCUGCCGAUUCCUCCUCCUCCGCCAGCCAGACGAACUGGCGGAAGGAGGUGGAUGAGCUGCUUCGGCGGAUGCACUCCCUCCUCUUCGGCGCCGACGCCGCGCUCGAGCGCGGGGAUGCGGCGGCGGCGCAGGUUCUCGUGCUCCGCCUCCUCGGCUUCCUCGAUUCCCAGACCCUCUCCGCCUACACGGGUCCUGAAGCCGCCUUCGUCGCGCCCAUCCGCGCCGCAGCCUCUUCCCGUCUCGCCGCUGCCUCCCGCGCUGGCGCCUCCGUCUCGGACCGUGCAGCGUUUGAGCUCGCAAAAAAGAAUGCUGGUUGUGUUUUUCCAAAGCAAGGAGACGUUAGCAUUGAAAAGAUGAAGUGUUCAAAGUAUUUUCAGGCUUUUCAUGAGAAAUCCAAAGGAAAUGUUGCUGAUCAACAGAACUCAGCUUGCGAGAAGUUCACGAUUCAAGGGGGUCCACAUAUUGAGGAAAGCCCAGCUGGCAUAGACAAUGAGAAGCUUAGCAUCGGGGCUUCAAAAUUGAUGGCACAAUCAAAAAUAACAUCAUUGUACGGUAACAAGUUCUUGAAGGCAAAUAGUGUGUCAGACAAGAAUAUGUUCAAAUCAGAGGGGAACAUGUCUAAAGAGUUUGCUUGUGUUGAGAAUGAGAUCAGAACAAAUCAAAAUGAUAACACACAUCCUGCUUAUCUGGGGGUUGAAGAGGAUAAGAAACAUUGUGGGCCAUUGCAGACUUCAAAACGAAAGCAUACAGGGUUCAGAAGUCCUAUAUGUGAACAUGUGAAUUCUCCAUUAAGCCAAGAUGAAGCUGAUGCUCCUGCCAAUGGGUUUGUGACUGCUAGGAUAAAGUUGGCGAUGGACACUGUGCAAAAGCAUGGGCAUAAUGGUCACCAAGGUGCUUCUGUAUCUCCGCAAUGUGAUAACAACCUUAGUACACGGAAUUAUGGUGUGAGGCCAAGCUGGAAUUCUCGUCGUGGACCACGUGGUAAUUUUGUCCCCCCUAUCCGAAACAAUGGAGGAUCUGCUUGCAACGCAAUCAACUCACGAGGAGUUGCUGGAAAAAAUGAUGAUUCCAUGGAAGAUUCAAUAAAGAAAUGCUUAGAAAUGCUUUGUGGCCCUGAUGGUGAGCUUCCUGAGAAGUUGAGGAAUUUGGAACCUCGCCUUAUUGAGCAUGUUAGUAACGAAAUAAUGGAUAAAGACCCUAAUGUUCGCUGGGAUGACAUAGCUGGUUUGGAUCAUGCAAAGAAGUGUGUGACAGAGAUGGUUAUUUGGCCCCUACUGCGUCCAGACAUCUUUCGUGGUUGUCGGUCUCCUGGAAGAGGACUACUACUAUUUGGACCUCCUGGAACAGGCAAAACCAUGAUUGGAAAAGCAAUUGCUGGUGAGGCUAAGGCAACAUUUUUCUACAUAUCUGCAAGUUCACUCACGAGCAAAUGGAUUGGCGAGGGCGAAAAGCUAGUCCGGGCACUAUUUGGUGUAGCCUCUUGUCGUCAGCCCGCUGUCAUAUUUGUGGAUGAGAUUGAUUCACUACUAUCUCAGCGCAAAUCAGAUGGUGAACAUGAAUCAAGUAGGAGGUUAAAAACACAGUUUCUAAUUGAGAUGGAAGGUUUUGACAGUGGAAACGAGCAAAUUUUACUUAUAGGAGCAACAAACAGACCUCAAGAAUUAGAUGAAGCAGCACGCAGGCGACUGACAAAGCGUCUAUACAUCCCCCUUCCUUCAUCAGAAGCACGUACUUGGAUAAUUCGCAAUCUAUUGGAAAAGGAUGGCCUUUUCAAGCUCUCAGAGAAAGAAACAGGUGUCAUCUGCAAGUUAACAGAAGGUUACUCGGGAUCUGAUAUGAAAAAUCUUGUGAAAGAUGCCUCAAUGGGGCCACUGAGAGAAGCUCUCCAACAGGGUGUGGAAAUCACAAAGCUCAACAAGGAGGAAGUGCGUCCGGUGAUGCUCAAGGACUUUGAGGCUGCUCUGCAGGAGGUCAGACCUUCUGUUUCCACAAGCGAAUUGGGGAUUUAUGAAGAAUGGAACAUGCAGUUUGGCAGCCUAUCAAUCUAA
RNAcentral lists this ribosomal RNA (2067 nucleotides) under Triticum aestivum (bread wheat). RNAcentral describes it as "partial small subunit ribosomal RNA". The record is from RNAcentral. Lineage: Eukaryota; Viridiplantae; Streptophyta; Magnoliopsida; Poales; Poaceae.